RNAcentral lists this ribosomal RNA (497 nucleotides) under uncultured bacterium. RNAcentral's name for it is "partial 16S ribosomal RNA". It matches the Rfam family "Bacterial small subunit ribosomal RNA", at positions 28 to 507 of the family's 1533-position model. The record is from RNAcentral.
GAUGAACGCUGGCGGCGUGCCUAAUACAUGCAAGUCGAGCGAACGGACGAGAAGCUUGCUUCUCUGAUGUUAGCGGCGGACGGGUGAGUAACACGUGGAUAACCUACCUAUAAGACGGGGAUAACUUCGGGAAACCGGAGCUAAUACCGGAUAAUAUUUUGAACCGCAUGGUUCAAAAGUGAAAGACGGUCUUGCCGUCACUUAUAGAUGGAUCCGCGUUGCAUUAGCUAGUUGGUAAGGUAACGGCUUACCAAGGCAACGAUGCAUAGCCGACCUGAGAGGGUGAUCGGCCACACUGGAACUGAGACACGGUCCAGACUCCUACGGGAGGCAGCAGUGGGGAAUAUUCGGCAAUGGGCGAAAGCCUGACGGAGCAACGCCGCGUGAGUGAUGAAGGUCUUCGGAUCGUAAAACUCUGUUAUUAGGGAAGAACAUAUGUGUAAGUAACUGUGGACAUCUUGACGGUACCUAAACAGAAAGCAACGGCUAACUACGUG